GAGAGCUUGCUUUCUAGAGACCGGCGGAUGGGUGAGUAACGCGUAUGCAACCUACCUUUUACAGGGGAAUAGCCCGGAGAAAUUCGGAUUAAUGCUCCAUGGUUUAUAUGAAUGGCAUCGUUUAUAUAAUAAAGAUUUAUCGGUAAAAGAUGGGCAUGCGUAUCAUUAGCUAGUUGGUGUGGUAACGGCAUACCAAGGCGACGAUGAUUAGGGGUCCUGAGAGGGAGAUCCCCCACACUGGUACUGAGACACGGACCAGACUCCUACGGGAGGCAGCAGUGAGGAAUAUUGGUCAAUGGAGGCAACUCUGAACCAGCCAUGCCGCGUGCAGGAUGACGGUCCUAUGGAUUGUAAACUGCUUUUGUACGGGAAGAAAUGUAAUUACGUGUAAUUAUUUGACGGUACCGUAAGAAUAAGGAUCGGCUAACUCCGUGCCAGCAGCCGCGGUAAUACGGAGGAUCCGAGCGUUAUCCGGAAUUAUUGGGUUUAAAGGGUUCGUAGGCGGUUUAGUAAGUCAGUGGUGAAAUCUUAUAGCUUAACUAUAAAAUUGCCGUUGAUACUGCUAAACUUGAAUAGUAUGGAAGUAAUUAGAAUAUGUAGUGUAGCGGUGAAAUGCUUAGAUAUUACAUGGAAUACCAAUUGCGAAGGCAGAUUACUACGUACUUAUUGACGCUGAUGAACGAAAGCGUGGGUAGCGAACAGGAUUAGAUACCCUGGUAGUCCACGCCGUAAACGAUGGAUACUAGCUGUUCGGUUUUCGGACUGAGUGGCUAAGCGAAAGUGAUAAGUAUCCCACCUGGGGAGUACGUUCGCAAGAAU
This 819-nucleotide ribosomal RNA is filed under the name Myroides odoratus. RNAcentral describes it as "bacterial SSU rRNA". It matches the Rfam family "Bacterial small subunit ribosomal RNA", at positions 74 to 895 of the family's 1533-position model. The record is from RNAcentral. Lineage: Bacteria; Pseudomonadati; Bacteroidota; Flavobacteriia; Flavobacteriales; Flavobacteriaceae.